This is an RNA transcript of Fukomys damarensis (Damara mole-rat), 1387 nucleotides long. It is a transcript of the gene named histone-lysine N-methyltransferase SETMAR, with no coding region annotated. The transcript is spliced from 5 exons. Lineage: Eukaryota; Metazoa; Chordata; Mammalia; Rodentia; Bathyergidae. The record is from RefSeq and is a predicted model, not a curated record.
CAACUCCCAGCAUCCUCUGCUAGGCGCCGGACUGUCGGGGUAGGAAGUGAAGCGAGAGGCGGAUAAACAUUUAAGGAAUCUGUGAAGAACGAGUCGCCUUUCUGGAUGGCAGCCCGUGAGGAGGAGCUUGAAGUUCGGACAAAACAGCUGGAUAUAGCUCAAGGCCAGGAGAACUUGCCUGUUAGCGCGUGGCCCCCAGGGGCGGGACCAGAGCCCUUCCAGUAUACCCCUGAUCAUGUAGUUGGACCUGGAGCAGACAUUGAUCCUUCUCAAAUGACAUUUCCUGGAUGCAUUUGUGUCAAAACUCCCUGUCUCCCUGGAAGUUGCUCCUGUGUCCACCAUGAGGAGACCUAUGAUGAUAAUUUGUGCCUUAGAGAUACAGGAUCAGAGGCACAGUAUGCCAAACCUAUUUUUGAAUGCAAUGUCCUGUGCCAGUGUGGUAAUCACUGCAGAAACAGAGUGGUCCAGAAGGGUCUCCAGUUCAACCUCCAGGUGUUCAAGACACAUAAAAAAGGCUGGGGACUUCGUACUUUGGAACUUAUACCAAAAGGAAAGUUUGUCUGUGAAUAUGCUGGUGAAGUUUUAGGAUUCUUCGAAGUACAGAGGAGAAUUCACUUACAAACAACAAAUGACUCAAAUUACAUUAUAGCCAUCAAAGAACAUAUUUAUAAUGGACAGAUACUGGAAACAUAUGUUGAUCCUACCUAUAUAGGAAAUAUUGGAAGAUUCCUUAAUCAUUCUUGUGAGCCAAACCUGUUGAUGAUUCCUGUUCGAAUUGACUCAAUGGUUCCUAAAUUAGCACUUUUUGCAGCUAAAGACAUUUUGCCAGGUGAAGAACUCUCUUAUGACUAUUCAGGAAGAUACCUUAAUCUAAGGGACAGUGAAGACACAGAAAGAACAGAUAAUGGGAAACUAAGGAAACCUUGUUACUGUGGUGCCAAAUUGUGUACUGGUUUCUUGCCUUACGACAGUUCAUUGUUCUUGGAAAAGCCAAACAUCAAUUAGGAAGGAAAUUCCCUCUCACUGCCUUCCUUAGUGGCCAGGAAUAAGAAGGAACCAAGCAUGUGUGACCUACCUGCUUCUGGGUUCCCUUCUGCAAGUAAUUUUCCAGUGUUUCAGGUCUCUCUAUAUAUGCCAAACUGCCUGGAAAGACAGUGAUUGAAGACAUUAAAGGAGCAUCCUUCCCAUGUCAUUUAAAGCACAGGGCCGUGGAGAUGACAAACACCUGACCAAGCUGAUCAGUGGACAACGCCAACUCACUGAGAAAAAAGAUCCUGAGGCAAAGAACAAAUGAGUCACACUGUGGCAUGGGAAGCCACUACAGGUAAUGGAACUAUAGGAAUGGAAAAUGACACUAUUGUACUUUAUAAUUCAUUAACAAAUUUUG